RNAcentral lists this long non-coding RNA (323 nucleotides) under Triticum aestivum (bread wheat). Its description in RNAcentral is "long non-coding RNA (TAES_LNC013865)". The record is from RNAcentral. Lineage: Eukaryota; Viridiplantae; Streptophyta; Magnoliopsida; Poales; Poaceae.
CAUUUUCACCUUGUUGGUUGGCCAUAUCAAGUGCGGUGCAGUGCGAUCCUCCUACAACAAAGAGAAGCUCAUCAUUUACAAAACUCUGCAGCAAGACCAGUACUUAUGUGUUGAUGAAACUACAAAAUACCUGUAACUUAUUUGAUUAUGCAUCGUGUGCAUGCUUGUGUGUUGAUGCAACUACAAAAUACACACCAUAGACUGUGCCGGAUCAAAUGGUUCUGUUUUGAUAAUUACCGGAGUCAUGCAAAGGAAAGGAACUAAGCGAGGAGCGCAACUUCUGGUUAUUUGUACUAGUACUUUUCAAGAAGUUAUUCUUGGUA